Molecule: ribosomal RNA, 426 nt
Filed under: uncultured bacterium
Lineage: Bacteria
Description: bacterial SSU rRNA
Rfam family: Bacterial small subunit ribosomal RNA
Source: RNAcentral
GUGGGGAAUAUUGCACAAUGGAGGAAACUCUGAUGCAGCAACGCCGCGUGAAGGAUGAAGGUUUUCGGAUUGUAAACUUCUUUGAUCAGGGACGAAGAAUGACGGUACCUGAAAAACAAGCCACGGCUAACUACGUGCCAGCAGCCGCGGUAAUACGUAGGUGGCGAGCGUUGUCCGGAAUUACUGGGUGUAAAGGGCGUGUAGGCGGGGAUGCAAGUCAGAUGUGAAAGCCCAUGGCUCAACUGUGGGACUGCAUCUGAAACUGUGUUUCUUGAGUGCUGGAGAGGAAAGCGGAAUUCCUAGUGUAGCGGUGAAAUGCGUAGAUAUUAGGAGGAACACCAGUGGCGAAGGCGGCUUUCUGGACAGUAACUGACGCUGAGGCGCGAAAGCGUGGGGAGCAAACAGGAUUAGAAACCCUUGUAGUCC